UACCAGCACCCCGAGUGGUCGGGACGAUUAUUGGGCCUAAAGCAUCCGUAGCCGGUUCUACAAGUCUUCCGUUAAAUCCACCUGCUUAACAGAUGGGCUGCGGAGGAUACUAUAGAGCUAGGAGGCGGGAGAGGCAAGCGGUACUUAGUGGGUAGGGGUAAAAUCCGUUGAUCCAUUGAAGACCACCAGUGGCGAAGGCGGCUUGCCAGAACGCACUCGACGGUGAGGGAUGAAAGCUGGAGGAGCAAACCGG
This 253-nucleotide ribosomal RNA is filed under the name uncultured bacterium. RNAcentral describes it as "partial 16S ribosomal RNA". It matches the Rfam family "Archaeal small subunit ribosomal RNA", at positions 474 to 727 of the family's 1478-position model. The record is from RNAcentral.